AUUGAACGCUGGCGGCAUGCCUUACACAUGCAAGUCGAACGGCAGCGCGUCCUUCGGGAUGGCGGCGAGUGGCGAACGGGUGAGUAAUACAUCGGAACGUGCCCGAGAGUGGGGGAUAACGCAGCGAAAGCUGUGCUAAUACCGCAUACGAUCUCAGGAUGAAAGCAGGGGACCGCAAGGCCUUGCGCUCACGGAGCGGCCGAUGGCAGAUUAGGUAGUUGGUGGGAUAAAAGCUUACCAAGCCGACGAUCUGUAGCUGGUCUGAGAGGACGACCAGCCACACUGGGACUGAGACACGGCCCAGACUCCUACGGGAGGCAGCAGUGGGGAAUUUGGACAAUGGGCGAAAGCCUGAUCCAGCCAUGCCGCGUGCAGGAUGAAGGCCUUCGGGUUGUAAACUGCUUUUGUACGGAACGAAAAGGUCUUUCUAAUAAAGAAGGCUGAUGACGGUACCGUAAGAAUAAGACACCGGCUAACUACGUGCCAGCCCG
This 491-nucleotide ribosomal RNA is filed under the name uncultured bacterium. RNAcentral describes it as "bacterial SSU rRNA". It matches the Rfam family "Bacterial small subunit ribosomal RNA", at positions 30 to 517 of the family's 1533-position model. The record is from RNAcentral.